Beta vulgaris subsp. vulgaris (sugar beet) is the source of this 739-nucleotide long non-coding RNA. RefSeq lists it as uncharacterized. The record is from RefSeq and is a predicted model, not a curated record. The transcript is spliced from 3 exons. Lineage: Eukaryota; Viridiplantae; Streptophyta; Magnoliopsida; Caryophyllales; Amaranthaceae.
UCGUGAACUUCUAAAUUUUUACUUUUCCCUCCAAAAACUUCAAACACUAAAUUGUUAAAAAAACUUACUGUACAGUUUCCUCCGCCUUUCCACUCUCACGGAAACAUAAGUUAUUUUCCCUUAAGUCCUUCCCCUAUCCGAUUUCCCCCAUCUGAUUUCUCUCUCAUCUCUCGUUCUCGACCUCCACAUUCUACAUCUCCCUUGGGAGUCUGUCAAAUUCGCGAUGCCCAGUUGAAGAUUCUUGAGCGUCGCCGGCAAUUCGAAUCAAGGUAAAACUCAUUUCUUCCUCGAUCUAGGGUUGAUGAUGAGGAUUACGGGGUCGAAGAGGGUAAUAGAAUUUCUAAAGAAUCAUGCAAAGGGGUUUCUCUUUAGAUCUCCUGAGUCGACUUUCUUUAAAAAUUCUGUGAUUGAUGCGACUUCGGGGAUUAGGGUUGAUGAGAGUUCAAGGUGAACAAUGAGUCAAUUGGAGGAGAUCAAAUGUAAAUACCUCACUUCUUAGACGGCACACACUUGUUAAAUCAGGUGAACAAUGAACCAAUGGAGGAGAUCAAACAUGGAUGUCCCAUUAUAUACGCUAUUUGUGUCCGAAUCUAGUUAGUUAUAUAUUGUAUUAUGCUGCUUGUAUGCAGUAUGUAGAAGGAAAUUAGGGAUGUAUAUGCUAGAAACAUUUUGUGGUACAUUAAACAAUUAUGUAGUUUAGUUUGAUUUAAUAAAUUUCAUUUAUAUUAGUAGGAACUUA